UUCUCCUGGAAACGGGUGGUAAUGCCGGAUGCUCCAGUUGGAUGCAUGUCCUUCUGGGAAAGAUUCAUCGGUAUGGGAUGGGGUCGCGUCCUAUCAGCUUGAUGGCGGGGUAACGGCCCACCAUGGCUUCGACGGGUAGCCGGCCUGAGAGGGCGACCGGCCACAUUGGGACUGAGAUACGGCCCAGACUCCUACGGGAGGCAGCAGUGGGGAAUAUUGCACAAUGGGCGCAAGCCUGAUGCAGCGACGCCGCGUGCGGGAUGACGGCCUUCGGGUUGUAAACCGCUUUUGACUGGGAGCAAGCCCUUCGGGGUGAGUGUACCUUUCGAAUAAGCACCGGCUAACUACGUGCCAGCAGCCGCGGUAAUACGUAGGGUGCAAGCGUUAUCCGGAAUUAUUGGGCGUAAAGGGCUCGUAGGCGGUUCGUCGCGUCCGGUGUGAAAGUCCAUCGCUUAACGGUGGAUCCGCGCCGGGUACGGGCGGGCUUGAGUGCGGUAGGGGAGACUGGAAUUCCCGGUGUAACGGUGGAAUGUGUAGAUAUCGGGAAAGAACACCA
RNAcentral lists this ribosomal RNA (556 nucleotides) under Bifidobacterium adolescentis. RNAcentral's name for it is "bacterial SSU rRNA". It matches the Rfam family "Bacterial small subunit ribosomal RNA", at positions 145 to 711 of the family's 1533-position model. Lineage: Bacteria; Bacillati; Actinomycetota; Actinomycetes; Bifidobacteriales; Bifidobacteriaceae. The record is from RNAcentral.